GCGGGUGUAGCUCAAUGGCAGAGCUGAAGCCUUCCAAGCUUAAGACGCGGGUUCGAUUCCCGCUACCCGCUCCA
RNAcentral lists this transfer RNA (74 nucleotides) under Burkholderia multivorans. RNAcentral's name for it is "tRNA-Gly". It matches the Rfam family "tRNA". Rfam says of the family: Transfer RNA (tRNA) molecules are approximately 80 nucleotides in length. Their secondary structure includes four short double-helical elements and three loops (D, anti-codon, and T loops). The record is from RNAcentral. Lineage: Bacteria; Pseudomonadati; Pseudomonadota; Betaproteobacteria; Burkholderiales; Burkholderiaceae.